UACGGAGGGUGCGAGCGUUGUCCGGAUUUAUUGGGUUUAAAGGGUGCGUAGGUGGCUGUUUAAGUCAGUGGUGAAAUACGGUUGCUCAACAAUCGAGGUGCCAUUGAUACUGAAUAGCUUGAAAUAAUUGGAGGCUGCCGGAAUGGAUGGUGUAGCGGUGAAAUGCAUAGAUAUCAUCCAGAACACCGAUUGCGAAGGCAGGUGGCUACGAUUGGUUUGACACUGAGGCACGAAAGCAUGGGGAGCAAACAGGAUUAGAUACCCUGGUAGUCCAUGCUGUAAACGAUGAGGACUCGCUGUUUGAUGGCAACAUUGAGCGGCUUAGGGAAACCGUUAAGUCCUCCACCUGGGGAGUACGCCGGCAACGGUGAA
Molecule: ribosomal RNA, 372 nt
Filed under: uncultured bacterium
Lineage: Bacteria
Description: bacterial SSU rRNA
Rfam family: Bacterial small subunit ribosomal RNA
Source: RNAcentral